GGACAUUGAGAUGGAGGCUAACACAACCUUAGCCUUUUGUCCUUCAAACAAUCGUGAAAAUGAAGUGUAAUGGUGUUGACUUGGGAGACCAAACCUGAUCAGUUUCAAACGCACCGCAUCAAGUUUAAUAUAUUUCCUUUGGUCUUGGGUGAGGAGGAUAAAGAUCUAGGAAGAAUAUAUCCAAGUGGGCUUCUCCACAAAAGAGUACCUUCCGAUCCUCAGGUUCUGGCUUAUUCUCACUUCACCCACAGUAACUAAAUCUCCCGCAAGAACAUUCAAAAGACUAGACUUUGCAGUUCCGUGAAACCCAAGUAUCGCUACUCGUGUCCCCGCAACUAUACGUACGUCCAAUUUUUGAGAGCCUCAAUUAUGGCGUAUUAACGCUUACCUCAAUCAACUGAAGAAGGGGACGUGGGAGCUCCGUUGGUGCUGUAAAACCGAGCUCCAACCUAUAAAAAAAAAACCUCACGUCGUCACUUGGAACUUGUAGUGUUGCCAUCGAAUUACCAUGUAUCUAAAAAAC
Molecule: RNA transcript, 523 nt
Organism: Arabidopsis thaliana (thale cress)
Lineage: Eukaryota; Viridiplantae; Streptophyta; Magnoliopsida; Brassicales; Brassicaceae
Exons: 2
Source: RefSeq